Molecule: ribosomal RNA, 1051 nt
Filed under: Simplicillium sp.
Lineage: Eukaryota; Fungi; Ascomycota; Sordariomycetes; Hypocreales; Cordycipitaceae
Description: SSU rRNA
Rfam family: Eukaryotic small subunit ribosomal RNA
Source: RNAcentral
ACUGCGAAUGGCUCAUUAUAUAAGUUAUCGUUUAUUUGAUAGUACCUUACUACUUGGAUAACCGUGGUAAUUCUAGAGCUAAUACAUGCUAAAAAUCCCGACUUCGGAAGGGAUGUAUUUAUUAGAUUAAAAACCAAUGCCCUCUGGGCUCUCUGGUGAUUCAUGAUAACUUCUCGAAUCGCAUGGCCUUGCGCCGGCGAUGGUUCAUUCAAAUUUCUUCCCUAUCAACUUUCGAUGUUUGGGUAUUGGCCAAACAUGGUCGCAACGGGUAACGGAGGGUUAGGGCUCGACCCCGGAGAAGGAGCCUGAGAAACGGCUACUACAUCCAAGGAAGGCAGCAGGCGCGCAAAUUACCCAAUCCCGACACGGGGAGGUAGUGACAAUAAAUACUGAUACAGGGCUCUUUCGGGUCUUGUAAUUGGAAUGAGUACAAUUUAAAUCCCUUAACGAGGAACAAUUGGAGGGCAAGUCUGGUGCCAGCAGCCGCGGUAAUUCCAGCUCCAAUAGCGUAUAUUAAAGUUGUUGUGGUUAAAAAGCUCGUAGUUGAACCUUGGGCCUGGCUGGCCGGUCCGCCUCACCGCGUGUACUGGUCCGGCCGGGCCUUUCCCUCUGUGGAACCUCAUGCCCUUCACUGGGCGUGACGGGGAAACAGGACUUUUACUGUGAAAAAAUUAGAGUGCUCCAGGCAGGCCUAUGCUCGAAUACAUUAGCAUGGAAUAAUGAAAUAGGACGUGCGGUUCUAUUUUGUUGGUUUCUAGGACCGCCGUAAUGAUUAAUAGGGACAGUCGGGGGCAUCAGUAUUCAAUUGUCAGAGGUGAAAUUCUUGGAUUUAUUGAAGACUAACUACUGCGAAAGCAUUUGCCAAGGAUGUUUUCAUUAAUCAGGAACGAAAGUUAGGGGAUCGAAGACGAUCAGAUACCGUCGUAGUCUUAACCAUAAACUAUGCCGACUAGGGAUCGGACGAUGUAAAUAAUUGACUCGUUCGGCACCUUACGAGAAAUCAAAGUGUUUGGGCUCCAGGGGGAGUAUGGUCGCAAGGCUGAACUUAAGG